This 121-nucleotide small nuclear RNA is filed under the name Myotis davidii. RNAcentral's name for it is "U4 spliceosomal RNA". It matches the Rfam family "U4 spliceosomal RNA". From Rfam's summary of the family: U4 small nuclear RNA (U4 snRNA) is a component of the major U2-dependent spliceosome. The structure of U4 snRNA from yeast and human has been reported. U4 snRNA presents a k-turn RNA motif in the 5p-SL related to recognition of Snu13 protein. The record is from Rfam by way of RNAcentral. Lineage: Eukaryota; Metazoa; Chordata; Mammalia; Chiroptera; Vespertilionidae.
AGCUUUGCACAAUGGCAGUAUCGUGGCCAAUGAGAUUUAUCUGAGGUGCGAUUAUUGCUAAUUAUAUAUAUAUAUAUAUAUAUAUACACAUAUAUAUAAUUUUAUAUAAAAUUUAAAAAGC